RNAcentral lists this ribosomal RNA (523 nucleotides) under uncultured bacterium. RNAcentral describes it as "partial 16S ribosomal RNA". It matches the Rfam family "Bacterial small subunit ribosomal RNA", at positions 28 to 523 of the family's 1533-position model. The record is from RNAcentral.
GACGAACGCUGGCGGCGUGCCUAAUACACGCAAGUCGAACGCUUUUUCUUUCACCGGAGCUUGCUCCACCGAAAGAAAAAGAGUGGCGAACGGGUGAGUAACACGUGGGUAACCUGCCCAUCAGAAGGGGAUAACACUUGGAAACAGGUGCUAAUACCGUAUAACACUAUUUUCCGCAUGGAAGAAAGUUGAAAGGCGCCUUUGCGUCACUGAUGGAUGGACCGGCGGUGCAUUAGCUAGCUGGUGAGGUAACGGCUCACCAAGGCAACGAUGCAUAGCCGACCUGAGAGGGUGAUCGGCCACACUGGGACUGAGACACGGCCCAGACUCCUACGGGAGGCAGCAGUAGGGAAUCUUCGGCAAUGGACGAAAGUCUGACCGAGCAACGCCGCGUGAGUGAAGAAGGUUUUCGGAUCGUAAAACUCUGUUGUUAGAGAAGAACAAGGAUGAGAGUAAAAUGUUCAUCCCUUGACGGUAUCUAACCAGAAAGCCACGGCUAACUACGUGCCAGCCGCCGCUGUAA